UUGUGUUUUGAACUUAACAUACUUGUUUAUUAAAAUAAUUACAAAAACACACAUACAAGAAUGUUCAAGAGAAAUUGCAUAUACUAUUUUAACAUGUGGAUACACAAUUAUAUAAUAAAACACCUUCUUACACAUUAGGGGGAAAAAUAUAAAUCACUCCAUAAUAAUACAUUUUUUAUUUAAAUAGUUAUCUAUGAUACAAAUAUAUUCAUAGAUAAAUGUUUGAUAAAAUUUUUAUUUAAAACUUAGAUAGUGGGUUAUAAAUCAAUAAAUGUUUA
Molecule: long non-coding RNA, 278 nt
Filed under: Vitis vinifera (wine grape)
Lineage: Eukaryota; Viridiplantae; Streptophyta; Magnoliopsida; Vitales; Vitaceae
Description: long non-coding RNA (VVIN_LNC002396)
Source: RNAcentral